Molecule: ribosomal RNA, 468 nt
Filed under: uncultured bacterium
Lineage: Bacteria
Description: partial 16S ribosomal RNA
Rfam family: Bacterial small subunit ribosomal RNA
Source: RNAcentral
GACGAACGCUGGCGGCGUGCUUAACACAUGCAAGUCGAACGGAAAGGCCCUGCUUUUGUGGGGUGCUCGAGUGGCGAACGGGUGAGUAACACGUGAGUAACCUGCCCUUGACUUUGGGAUAACUUCAGGAAACUGGGGCUAAUACCGGAUAGGAGCCCCUGCUGCAUGGUGGGGGUUGGAAAGUUUCGGCGGUUGGGGAUGGACUCGCGGCUUAUCAGCUUGUUGGUGGGGUAGUGGCUUACCAAGGCUUUGACGGGUAGCCGGCCUGAGAGGGUGACCGGCCACAUUGGGACUGAGAUACGGCCCAGACUCCUACGGGAGGCAGCAGUGGGGAAUAUUGCACAAUGGGCGGAAGCCUGAUGCAGUAACGCCGCGUGCGGGAUGACGGCCUUCGGGUUGUAAACCGCUUUCGCCUGUGACGAAGCGUGAGUGACGGUAAUGGGUAAAGAAGCACCGGCUAACUACGUG